Molecule: non-coding RNA, 77 nt
Organism: Capsicum annuum
Lineage: Eukaryota; Viridiplantae; Streptophyta; Magnoliopsida; Solanales; Solanaceae
Source: Rfam
AGGAGCCGUAUGAGGUGAAAAUAUCAUGUACGGUUCUGUAGAGUGGCAGUAAGGGUGACUUAUCUUUCAACUUUUCC